This 28-nucleotide non-coding RNA is filed under the name Mus musculus (house mouse). Lineage: Eukaryota; Metazoa; Chordata; Mammalia; Rodentia; Muridae. The record is from RNAcentral.
UCGGCUGGUGUAUGCUGUCUGGUGGUCC